This 241-nucleotide ribosomal RNA is filed under the name uncultured bacterium. RNAcentral's name for it is "partial 16S ribosomal RNA". It matches the Rfam family "Bacterial small subunit ribosomal RNA", at positions 80 to 339 of the family's 1533-position model. The record is from RNAcentral.
UCGGACUGAUGGCGAGCGGCGGACGGCAGAGUAACGCGUAGGAACAUACCCCAAACUGAGGGAUAAGCACCAGAAAUGGUGUCUAAUACCGCAUGUGGUCUUCGGACUAAAGCUUCGGCGGUUUGGGAAUGGCCUGCGUCUGAUUAGCUUGUUGGUGAGGUAAAAGCUCACCAAGGCGACGAUCGGUAGCUGGUCUGAGAGGAUGAUCAGCCUGACUGGAACUGAGAACGGUCCAGACUCC